UUUCACGGUACAGUGGAUGCAGAACAUGAGAAAUACAUUGUGCAUUACGUAAUGGAAUGGGGAUUUUUAAAAACAUAUGAAUGGAUAUGUGGAUAGAAUACUGGAAUCAAAAGGCAAACAAGCGACGUCAUAACACUUUGUACAAUGCCAAAACUACACACGAAAAGGCGUAAAGUGAGUUGCUGGUUAAAGCUCAUACCAGAAUAUAUUAUCAGUGGAUUUCAUCUCCACGUCACAAAUAUUGCUCCAAUGUAACAGCAUAAGAAUCAAAUCCAGAAACAAUAUGAUUAUCAGGAACAUCCACACCAACGUUAUAUAACAGGACGAUGGAAAAAGGAAAAAAUGAAUAGAUGACAUGAUCUUGUUCUUCUUUGUUUUUCCACAAUUCAUCCACAAAUCUCAAUGCAUGCAUAUUCUGUGAUUAACACAUGUCUAAGGGAAAACUGUAUAGAGGGUUAUUUUAGCGGUGUAUUGCUUUUGGCGAUAUUUUCCAAUUGUCAAAAGGAAUAAAGCACCGACUUCAAGCCCAUUUUAUAUCUCUAUAUAGAAGUCAUAAAUAAAAUCGCCAAAUUUACAACAAUCA
This is a long non-coding RNA of Ostrea edulis (European flat oyster), 583 nucleotides long. RefSeq lists it as uncharacterized. Lineage: Eukaryota; Metazoa; Mollusca; Bivalvia; Ostreida; Ostreidae. The transcript has 2 exons. The record is from RefSeq and is a predicted model, not a curated record.